This 396-nucleotide ribosomal RNA is filed under the name uncultured bacterium. Its description in RNAcentral is "bacterial SSU rRNA". It matches the Rfam family "Bacterial small subunit ribosomal RNA", at positions 28 to 429 of the family's 1533-position model. The record is from RNAcentral.
AACGAACGCUGGCGGCGUGCUUAACACAUGCAAGUCGAGCGGUAAGGCCCUUUCGGGGGUACACGAGCGGCGAACGGGUGAGUAACACGUGGGUGACCUGCCCUCAGCUCUGGGAUAAGCCUGGGAAACCGGGUCUAAUACUGGAUAUGACUCCAUGACGCAUGUUGUGGGGUGGAAAGCCUUGUGCGGCUGAGGAUGGGCCCGCGGCCUAUCAGCUUGUUGGUGGGGUGANGGCCUACCAAGGCGACGACGGGUAGCCGGCCUGAGAGGGCGACCGGCCACACUGGGACUGAGACACGGCCCAGACUCCUACGGGAGGCAGCAGUGGGGAAUCUUGCGCAAUGGGCGAAAGCCUGACGCAGCGACGCCGCGUGAGGGAUGACGGCCUGGUGUAAC